GAUAAACGCUGGCGGCGUGCCUAAUACAUGCAAGUCGAACGAAGGUUUGUAGCAAUACUUACCUUAGUGGCGAAUGGGUGAGUAACGCGUUGGUGACCUGCCCCAAAGAGGGGAAUAACAGUUCGAAAGGACUGCUAAUGCCCCAUGUGGUUAUGGUGUUUAGAAAGCUAUAACUAAAGGAGCAAUCCGCUUUGGGAGGGGCCUGCGUCCCAUCAGCUAGUUGGUAGGGUAACGGCCUACCAAGGCUACGACGGGUAGGGGGCCUGAGAGGGUGGCCCCCCACACUGGCACUGAAACACGGGCCAGACACCUACGGGAGGCUG
Molecule: ribosomal RNA, 323 nt
Filed under: uncultured Chloroflexota bacterium
Lineage: Bacteria; Bacillati; Chloroflexota
Description: bacterial SSU rRNA
Rfam family: Bacterial small subunit ribosomal RNA
Source: RNAcentral